RNAcentral lists this transfer RNA (82 nucleotides) under Planctomycetia bacterium. Its description in RNAcentral is "tRNA-Leu". It matches the Rfam family "tRNA". Rfam says of the family: Transfer RNA (tRNA) molecules are approximately 80 nucleotides in length. Their secondary structure includes four short double-helical elements and three loops (D, anti-codon, and T loops). Lineage: Bacteria; Pseudomonadati; Planctomycetota; Planctomycetia. The record is from RNAcentral.
GGGCCGGUGAUGGAACUGGCAGACAUGCAGGUCUUAGAAGCCUGUCCCGCAAGGGGUGCGGGUUCAAGUCCCGCCCGGCCCA